Molecule: transfer RNA, 90 nt
Filed under: Shinella zoogloeoides
Lineage: Bacteria; Pseudomonadati; Pseudomonadota; Alphaproteobacteria; Hyphomicrobiales; Rhizobiaceae
Also listed under: 10 other names
Description: tRNA-Ser
Rfam family: tRNA
About the family: Transfer RNA (tRNA) molecules are approximately 80 nucleotides in length. Their secondary structure includes four short double-helical elements and three loops (D, anti-codon, and T loops).
Source: RNAcentral
GGAAGAGUGGCCGAGCGGUUUAAGGCACCGGUCUUGAAAACCGGCGUAGGCGAGAGUCUACCGUGGGUUCGAAUCCCACCUCUUCCGCCA